AAAGCAGCAAGGCGCGGGGGGAGGGGCCCGCGGCCCACCAGGGAGGGGGGGAGGAAACGGCCCACCAAGGCGAAGACGGGCAGCCGGACAGAGAGGACGCCCGGCCACACAGGAACAGAGACACGGACCAAACACCGACGGGGGGCAGCAGGCGAGAACCACCCACAAGGGGGGAAACCCGGAGGGCGCGACGCCGCGGGGGGGAACGAAGGCCCGCGGACCGCAAACCCCGGGCAGGCGGGAGCAAACAAAAAAGACAGCACCACAAGAGGAAGAGACGGCUAACUCUGUGCCAGCAGCCGCGGUAAUACAGAGGUCUCAAGCGUUGUUUGGAAUCACUGGGCGUAAAGCGUGCGUCGGCUGUUUCGUAACUCGUGUGUGAAAGGCGCGGGCUCAACCCGCGGACGGCACAUGAUACUGCGAGACUAGAGUAAUGGAGGGGGAACCGGAAUUCUCGGUGUAGCAGUGAAAUGCGUAGAUAUUGAGAGGAACACUCGUGGCACAGGCGGGUUCCUGGACAUUAACUGACGCUGAGGCACGAAGACCAGGGGAG
RNAcentral lists this ribosomal RNA (553 nucleotides) under uncultured bacterium. Its description in RNAcentral is "partial 16S ribosomal RNA". It matches the Rfam family "Bacterial small subunit ribosomal RNA", at positions 202 to 768 of the family's 1533-position model. The record is from RNAcentral.